UUAAGAAAAUAAGUGCAAGCGGUGGAUGCCUUGGCAUUCAGAGGCGAUGAAGGACGUGAUAAUCUGCGAUAAGCUUCGGUUAGCUGGUAAAUGAGCUAUGACCCGGAGAUUUCCGAAUGGGGGAACCCACCUGACACAAGUUGGGUACUCACUCGAUAUAGAGUGUAGAGCGAACGAGGGGAACUGAAACAUCUAAGUACCCUUAGGAAGAGAAAUCAAUUGAGAUUCCCGUAGUAGUGGCGAGCGAAGUGGGAAGAGCCUGGUAUGAUUUAGCUGUAAUUAUAGUAGAACAAGUUGGGAAGCUUGACGAUAGAGGGUGAUAGUCCCGUAUACGAAAUAAUCACAGUGGAACUAAGCAUACGAACAAGUAGGACGGGGCACGUGGAACCUUGUCUGAAUAUGGGGGGACCAUCCUCCAAGGCUAAAUACUCCUGAAUGACCGAUA
This 445-nucleotide ribosomal RNA is filed under the name Francisella tularensis. RNAcentral's name for it is "partial 23S ribosomal RNA". It matches the Rfam family "Bacterial large subunit ribosomal RNA", at positions 1 to 489 of the family's 2925-position model. The record is from RNAcentral. Lineage: Bacteria; Pseudomonadati; Pseudomonadota; Gammaproteobacteria; Thiotrichales; Francisellaceae.